UACUGUGGAACCUAUUAUGAAGUCAAUGGAAAUAAAACGAGAAAUCAACGUCCGAUAUACCGACUCUGCCCUCCGCGUGCAACAAACGUACGUUCGGAACUACACAACCGAAGACUACAAGUGAGGUCCGACCUCAAGGUGUUCUCACGGAUAUGCCUGAUGCGGCCGUAGUUGUUACGCGAAGUGACCCAGUACCUCCUUUUUCGUUUCGAAGUCGAUGUUGUCUUACGACAGUGACUUUUCCUGUUUGACUAGUGACUUUUCCUGUUUGACUAGCGACUUGACUUUUGUUCCUUACUUCUUGUCCGUCGUCUCUAACUUAGAGAUUUCCUUCUCGACCUUCAUUCCCUCAGUUCGGUACAUGAUAAUCGUGACGUCCCUUCACCAGAAGUCUCAUCGGUCAGACCUUCUUUAUUUGCCUGUGCUCUUAGACUACCGUUGCCACUUCAACGACUACUCGUACCACAAUACCUGUUAGGACUAGUUCUACUAGUUCCAAAUUCGUGACUCGAACUCUUACGAUUUUUCCUUGAAAGACUAUAGGUGAGAUUCGACUAGUUCCCUAAGUACCUAUAACCACGAUGAAGUUGUGCCUUACAACGUUAUUUCUUAUAUCCGCUUAACUCGAUGUUCGGCAAGGUUGUCCGUACGGAAUUCUUCGACGGAGGUCUUCUUCGAAGCUUCUUUCGAAGACUCAACAUGUUGAAAACCGUCUUCGUCGACGACUUGGGUCUCACCUUAGGGAGGUUUUGACAGUACCUCUUUCCAUUGGGAUUCCUUCCAUAGAGAUUCCUCUAACUACAGCUACUACGGCUAGACGAUUUCGAUGCACGACUUACCCCACUUCUGCACAUGUUCCGACACCGCUUAACAAACCACCUUUAGCUUUUUACACCGUCCGACUGCCUGUCUUGGUAGUAUGGGCACUAAACCCUAGUUUUCCUCCUGUCCUGUCGGUGAGCGUCACUUUCACAACUCAUGUACACGUCGGUUCACUCCGCAGACUCUUGAGCGUCCUUGACUGAAACGUCCGCGUUCCGUCCGACCACCUUCUUGUACCUCCAGACAGCAUAGCUGAGGUAAAACCUUUGUCCCCGUCAUCUUCAUCGUUUGGAUACCACUCUUGACUUCUGACCUCCUCAGAGUAAAACAGCUUCUUGCUUUGGCGUCGACUAGCAUACCGUCUUGUAACAGUACUAGACACACAAUACACUAGCAAAUCAUGACGGAUUGAUGCUUGGAAUUUUAUCUAAUUGCGUUCGUCGGGAAAACUGGUGGCAUAAAAUCGACAGGAGAAUCAAAGUCACAAGAGGACCUGAGAGGCCGUCGUUAAGUCGCCGUGGAUGUAAUGAAACUUGACAUUUCGAACGACUACUCCCCUUGAAAACGUAGCAACGUGACAGCACGACGUGACGUUUGCGUUAUAUAAUUUGAUCGG
RNAcentral lists this ribosomal RNA (1438 nucleotides) under Triticum aestivum (bread wheat). RNAcentral describes it as "partial small subunit ribosomal RNA". Lineage: Eukaryota; Viridiplantae; Streptophyta; Magnoliopsida; Poales; Poaceae. The record is from RNAcentral.